UAGUUUGACUGGGGCGGUCUCCUCCUAAAGAGUAACGGAGGAGCACGAAGGUUGGCUAAUCCUGGUCGGACAUCAGGAGGUUAGUGCAAUGGCAUAAGCCAGCUUGACUGCGAGCGUGACGGCGCGAGCAGGUGCGAAAGCAGGUCAUAGUGAUCCGGUGGUUCUGAAUGGAAGGGCCAUCGCUCAACGGAUAAAAGGUACUCCGGGGAUAACAGGCUGAUACCGCCCAAGAGUUCAUAUCGACGGCGGUGUUUGGCACCUCGAUGUCGGCUCAUCACAUCCUGGGGCUGAAGUAGGUCCCAAGGGUAUGGCUGUUCGCCAUUUAAAGUGGUACGCGAGCUGGGUUUAGAACGUCGUGAGACAGUUCGGUCCCUAUCUGCCGUGGGCGCUGGAGAACUGAGGGGGGCUGCUCCUAGUACGAGAGGACCGGAGUGGACGCAUCACUGGUGUUCGGGUUGUCAUGCCAAUGGCACUGCCCGGUAGCUAAAUGCGGAAGAGAUAAGUGCUGAAAGCAUCUAAGCACGAAACUUGCCCCGAGAUGAGUUCUCCCUGACUCCUUGAGAGUCCUGAAGGAACGUUGAAGACGACGACGUUGAUAGGCCGGGUGUGUAAGCGCAGCGAUGCGUUGAGCUAACCGGUACUAAUGAACCGUGAGG
This 656-nucleotide ribosomal RNA is filed under the name Escherichia coli. RNAcentral's name for it is "partial 23S ribosomal RNA". It matches the Rfam family "Bacterial large subunit ribosomal RNA", at positions 2266 to 2916 of the family's 2925-position model. The record is from RNAcentral. Lineage: Bacteria; Pseudomonadati; Pseudomonadota; Gammaproteobacteria; Enterobacterales; Enterobacteriaceae.